This 1153-nucleotide long non-coding RNA is filed under the name Macaca mulatta (Rhesus monkey). RNAcentral describes it as "lncRNA (ENSMMUG00000056367.1)". Lineage: Eukaryota; Metazoa; Chordata; Mammalia; Primates; Cercopithecidae. The record is from RNAcentral.
AAAAUAUUAUUUCCAGACAAAUUGAAGAUAUUUAACAAAAUUCAAUCACCAUUCUUCACUUAAGAAAAAAAUCUCAAUAAAAUAUGAAUAGUUGGAUACUUCUUUAACCUGAUAAAAUAUUUCUCAGCCCACAAGCCAGCAGCAUGGGGAACCACUAGAGCAAGCUUGUCCAACCCACAGCCCAUGGGCCGCAUGUGACCCAGGACGGCUUUGAAUGCGGCCCAACACAAAUUCAUAAACUUUCUUAAAACAUUAUGAGAUUUUUUUGUGAUUUUUUUUUUAGUUCAUCAGCUAUCAUUAAUGUUAGUGUAUUUCAUGUAUGACUCAAGACAAUUCUUCUUCUUCCACUGUGGCCCAGGGAAGCCAAAAGAUUGGACACUCCUGCACUAGAUGCUUUUCCACUGAAGUCAGGAGUGUGACAAAAAUGACCACAGUUUUCAGUUAUUGAACACUGUCAUUCUUGCACACAGAACUCAGUGGGUUUUCAGUGCUGCUCGGAAUAUCCUAAAUGUCCCUAGUCCAUUCUUUCUCCACAAUCCUAGACAUCUAUUCUCUCAUGCCUUUCACACCUUUCCCCACCUUACUUGCAGUUGAGAAUUCUGUUUCCUAGUUUAUUGAGACUACGGCAGAGACUUUCAGAGACUUACCCCUCCACGUCUACCCACUUAACCAGUGGCUGCACCACGUACUGUGCCUUCCUACCACAGAUAAACACCUGUGCAUUUGGAGAAGUCUUCAACUUGUGCCCUAGCUUCCAUCUCAUCUCACCUCAAGGACUUGUCCCAACAAUUCUGUACUCUUAUACAUCAUCAAUCUUUCUUUUCCUACUGGGUCAUUUCAUCAACAAAUAAGCCACCAAUUUUUUAUUUAUUUAUUUAUUUAUUGAGACGGUGACUCACUCUAUUACCCAGGCUAGAGUGCAUAUCCUGGCUAUAAUACUGUAUUAGUUUUUCAAGACAUUGUUGGGGGAAAACUGAGUAAAGGGUACACAAUAUCUUUUCCUUUUCUUUCUUUUUGAGAUGGUGUCUCAUUAUUUUGCCCAGGAUGAUCUCAAACCCCUAAGCUCAAGUGUUCCAAUGCCUCAGCUUCCUGAAUAGCUGGGACUACAGGCGUGUGGGUCAACAUUAUUCUUACAGAAAUAGAAACUGACAGG